RNAcentral lists this transfer RNA (72 nucleotides) under Thermanaeromonas toyohensis ToBE. It matches the Rfam family "tRNA". Rfam says of the family: Transfer RNA (tRNA) molecules are approximately 80 nucleotides in length. Their secondary structure includes four short double-helical elements and three loops (D, anti-codon, and T loops). Lineage: Bacteria; Bacillati; Bacillota; Clostridia; Neomoorellales; Neomoorellaceae. The record is from Rfam by way of RNAcentral.
AGGGGUGUGGCCAAGCGGUAAGGCAGCGCACUCUGGAUCCGCGAUGCGCUGGUUCGAAACCAGCCGCCCCUG